Molecule: ribosomal RNA, 940 nt
Filed under: uncultured bacterium
Lineage: Bacteria
Description: bacterial SSU rRNA
Rfam family: Bacterial small subunit ribosomal RNA
Source: RNAcentral
AGAGUUUGAUCCUGGCUCAGAUUGAACGCUGGCGGCAUGCCUAACACAUGCAAGUCGAACGGAAACGAUGGGAGCUUGCUCCCAGGCGUCGAGUGGCGGACGGGUGAGUAAUACUUAGGAAUCUACCCAGUAGCGGGGGACAACUCGGGGAAACUCGAGCUAAUACCGCAUACGCUCUACGGAGGAAAGCAGGGGAUCUUCGGACCUUGCACUAUUGGAUGAGCCUAAGUCGGAUUAGCUUGUUGGUGAGGUAAAGGCUCACCAAGGCGACGAUCCGUAGCUGGUCUGAGAGGACGAUCAGCCACACUGGGACUGAGACACGGCCCAGACUCCUACGGGAGGCAGCAGUGGGGAAUAUUGGACAAUGGGGGCAACCCUGAUCCAGCAAUGCCGCGUGUGUGAAGAAGGCCUGCGGGUUGUAAAGCACUUUCAGUAGAGAAGAAAAGCCUAGGGUUAAUACCCCUGAGUCUUGACGUUACCUACAGAAGAAGCUCCGGCUAACUCCGUGCCAGCAGCCGCGGUAAUACGGAGGGAGCGAGCGUUAAUCGGAAUUACUGGGCGUAAAAGCGCGCGUAGGCGGCUUUGUAAGUCGGAUGUGAAAGCCCUGGGCUUAACCUGGGAAUGGCAUUCGAUACUGCAGAGCUAGAGUAUGGUAGAGGGAAGUGGAAUUUCCGGUGUAGCGGUGAAAUGCGUAGAUAUCGGAAGGAACACCGGUGGCGAAGGCGACUUCCUGGGCCAAUACUGACGCUGAGGCGCGAAAGCGUGGUAGCAAACAGGAUUAGAUACCCUGGUAGUCCACGCCGUAAACGAUGAGAACUAGAUGUCGGAGGAUCUGCCUUUCGGUGUCGCAGCUAACGCGUAAGUCCUCCGCCUGGGGAGUACGCCGGCAACGNAAAACCUCAAAGGAAUUGACGGGGACCCGCACAAGCGGUGGAGCAUG